UGAGUAAUCAAAAUCCUAUAUUAUUACUUCAUAUAAUCAAAUUUAAUAAACCAUACAAUAGGGAUAAUAAAUCAUAGUUUUCUUUAAAUCUCUCUCUCUCUCUCUCUCUUUCUCUCUCUUUCUAUAUAUAUAUAUAUAUAUAUUCACACAACAGACUUUAAUACUCUUCUAAUACUAUAAAAUCAUCUCAACUCUUUGUCAACGUUUUGAAAAGUAGUGAACCAAAUUCGAAUUUGGCCCUAAAAUCUUGUUUAAAAUGCACUCAACUAGCAAAUGAAAUCCCAUUCAUGAAAUUCGAUUGUCGUCCAGACCACAAAGUUCUGAGCAACAAUUCAAAUCCUUACUUCUCAAGAAAAACAUUAGUGACGUUUUACAUACAAAAAUUCGAAACCCUAAACCCUGAAACCUGGUAAGGAUUCUAGUGCAAACUCGCUGCCAUACAACGAACAACGUGUUAAAGCAUCUACCGGGAGCCCUCGUCACCGCAUUGCACACAGGAUGGGAACGGUCUAAAAUUCGCCGCAGCUGCAUCGGUAGCACAACCUGCACACUGCGGCGCCGACUCACAGAGCUGCAAGGCCAUGUGGACGCGAACGUGACCAAGGUUGCAUCGAUUGAUCAAGUUACCAGCACUUUGCAAAAACAUGUCACCGAAACAAAUCCACGCUGGAUGUGCUGACCCACUGGUGUUGCUCGCAUCCUUGGAUCCCGCUGCACAAAGGAACGGCACGAGCGCGAGCGUAUCAGUCGGCUCUGAAGCGAUCAUGUCUGAAGUCGGGAGUCGGUAGGGCUGCAGCUACAUACAAACGUCGAUGGAGAAUUCAUUUCGGUGCCAAAUCAGACGCGAAUGAGAGUGUGGGUUGCCGAACCCGGAAUCGGCGGAAAUUUGCGCGGUAUAAUCCAGAGCCUGCCACUUCGAAUCGUCGAUUGACCCGUACAUCGAUCGCAAAAAAUGCAUUCAUGGGUCGCUUGGUCGGUGGGUGUCU
This 986-nucleotide long non-coding RNA is filed under the name Physcomitrium patens. Its description in RNAcentral is "long non-coding RNA (PPAT_LNC005682)". Lineage: Eukaryota; Viridiplantae; Streptophyta; Bryopsida; Funariales; Funariaceae. The record is from RNAcentral.